This 116-nucleotide long non-coding RNA is filed under the name Penaeus japonicus. RNAcentral's name for it is "uncharacterized LOC122261543". Lineage: Eukaryota; Metazoa; Arthropoda; Malacostraca; Decapoda; Penaeidae. The record is from RNAcentral.
UUGCCAAUUCUGGCCAGGCGGACAGUGACCAAGACCUCGUAGGGAAUAAAUGCGAUGGUGAUACCGACGCAGAUCGGGAUGGUAUUGAUGACAGUGUGGACAACUGUCCUGGACUU